AUGCUGGGAUUAGUUGUAAACUUCCUUGCUGAACCCUACAGGGAGCAAUGCAUCCCCAGUUUGCUUCCAGAGAAGGAAGGGGAAGAGGGUUUUAUUGUUGCUGCUAUUCCUCAUGGAUAUUCAAGAGGCAACUUGGCACCUAAUGUCAGCAACGUGCUUAUCGGUGACGAGGGAAAUGAAAGAAGGCUGUAA
RNAcentral lists this ribosomal RNA (192 nucleotides) under Triticum aestivum (bread wheat). RNAcentral describes it as "partial small subunit ribosomal RNA". Lineage: Eukaryota; Viridiplantae; Streptophyta; Magnoliopsida; Poales; Poaceae. The record is from RNAcentral.